RNAcentral lists this small RNA (142 nucleotides) under bovine gut metagenome. RNAcentral's name for it is "Ribosomal protein L10 leader". It matches the Rfam family "Ribosomal protein L10 leader". Rfam says of the family: This family is a putative r-protein leader autoregulatory structure found in B. subtilis and other low-GC Gram-positive bacteria. The record is from RNAcentral.
UAAUAAUAUUUGCUGUUCCGAAGACAGCAGGUGCGCGAAAGCGCGUAAUGGGUGACCGCCUGCCGAGGAAGACGCAUAAAAGUUCUGUUCAAAUUGGGAUUUUUUGCUCUUCUGCGGUUUUGCGGAAGAGCAAAUUUAUUAU